GAGGAACAUUGCGCAAUGGGGAAACCCUGACGCAGCAACGCCGCGUGGGUGAAGAAGGCCUUCGGGUCGUAAAGCCCUUUCGGACGGGACGAACGCUCCGCGGGGACAAGCCGCGGAGUCUGACGGUACCGUAGGAAUAAGUCCCGGCUAACUACGUGCCAGCAGCCGCGGUAAAACGUAGGGGACGAGCGUUAUCCGGAUUUACUGGGCGUAAAGCGCCCGUAGGCGGCUCUGUAAGUUGGACGUGAAAAGCUCCCGGCUUAACUGGGAGAGGCCGUUCAAAACUGUGGGGCUAGAGUGAGGCAGAGGAGCGCGGAAUUCCCGGUGUAGUGGUGGAAUGCGUAGAUAUCGGGAGGAACACCAGUGGCGAAAGCGGCGCUCUGGGCCUAAACUGACGCUGAGGGGCGAAAGCGUGGGGAGCGAACGGGAUUAGAUACCCCGGUAGUCCACGCCGUAAACGAUGGAGACUAGGUGUAGGCGGAUAGAACCCCGUCUGUGCCGAAGCCAACGCGUUAAGUCUCCCGCCUGGGGAGUACGGCCGCAAGGUUA
This 549-nucleotide ribosomal RNA is filed under the name uncultured bacterium. Its description in RNAcentral is "bacterial SSU rRNA". It matches the Rfam family "Bacterial small subunit ribosomal RNA", at positions 356 to 896 of the family's 1533-position model. The record is from RNAcentral.